Long non-coding RNA from Tachysurus vachellii, 2053 nucleotides. RefSeq lists it as uncharacterized. NCBI's taxonomy places the organism in Eukaryota, Metazoa, Chordata, Actinopteri, Siluriformes, Bagridae. The transcript has 2 exons. The record is from RefSeq and is a predicted model, not a curated record.
UUACUUUUUCAUGUGCAUGGGAAUAAUGAGGCAUUACUUACCUUACAAGGGCAUUACUUGCUACAACAAACAGCAGAGGAAUAAACCUGCUUACUUUCACAUUCCUUUACAAAGAAAUGCUCGCCUCCACACUCGAACAGGUCGAACGAGUUUCCUUGUCUAUCCACAUCAUGUGUUCAUUUCAUAAUCAAAUGCAGGUGGUUUCCAGGGACUUAAAAGUGACUGUGCUUCUCUCUUUAUUUUGAUGAACGAGACUGCUCUACAUGUAUGCUUUAAUCUUCUGUGAACACAAGAGUCAAGGUUUUAUCCAGAACUAAAGCAGUGAUCAUGACUGAGGAGGCGGCAGAAGAAGUGAUGACGAUGACUGGGAGGAUGAUUUUUUUUUUGGAAGUUUUCUGCCAAGGGUGAACUACAGGAGCUGAACAAUUAGACCAUUAGAGUUGAUUAGUUGAGCUAUGCUCCUUGGGAAAGCGUGCUAUGGUGUCACUUUCGGGGGUCGUGUGCACAGCUUCCUUGACAUGUGUCAAACUAGUACACAGUAUUUUAUUGUGUUACUAGACCACAAAAGUACAUUGUUUAGUAUGUCAAUGUUGGCACAAAGUAUAAUGUGAAAAGAUGGGCUUGUAUAUUCUCCAUUGAUGAAGGAAUCGUCAGGGCUGGGACACAAAAAGAAGAAAAAGAAGAAGAAAAGAGACCAACUCUGUAUGGGGAAAAGAUUUGAAUAAUAUUCAGAAAAUGAAAUAUGUAAAAAAAGUUUAUACCUUAUCCUUUCAUUGACAAAAUGAACAGCGUGAGAUCUCAUCAAAAUAAAAGAUAAAUACUCACGUAAAAACAUGAAAACUUAAAUAGAGUUCAAAUGUCUGGCAAACAAACUAAAGAACAGAGCAACAUGUACACAUAUGUGGGAAAUUUAAGCUCGAGGGUAGUAAGGAUACAGUUCUAAUAAGAAGAAACACUGUUUUGGGAAACACUGACCUCUAGUGGCAAGUCCAGAAUCCUUUCAGGAAUGGAUUUGAUACUGAUGCUAGUUUCUCAAACAGAAAAAAAGUGUAAAGAGUAAACUUCUUUGCAAAAUCAGUAACUUUUUCUUUAAUAUGACGAAUUCAGAAAAAAACAACAGGAAAAUAGACAAGCCUAACGCAAAUAAUGCAGCCUUUAUUUUAAAGCUGCUGAUGCGUCAUGAUUACAUGUACGUUCAUUGUGUGUGAAUGGUUAGUGACUCACUUUUACAUGUACAUUUUUGUUUCAGUGUAAGCAUUAUUUGUUUCACUGAGUUUUGUUUAGUGUGUUUCACACUUUUAUUUAGUACAAAUUACUGUAUUUCAUAUAGUAAUAAGUAAUUACUAAUAAUUUGUACUAUUAGUAAUAUGGAGAUUGAAGGGCUCUAUAUGGCAGCCUGGGAAGACUUUUCAGAGGUCAAUUCACUAUAUACACAAACACACACACAAACAUAUAUAGACACACACACAGUGUAGUAAAAAUAAUCCUUAAAAGGACAUAAUUAGAUGAAACAAAAUAAGUUUAUUUAAAGCGCUAAAACAAGAAUUCAUUUCCUGUCUUAAAAGUCUUUCAAAUUCAGCUGUAAUUAUGUUCCAUAAACAGCUUUUAAAUGAUUAUUGAUUACAAUUGGAAAUGGAGGUUCAGGGAAAACUUGUUGCUUUAAGAACUACAGUUAUUUUCCCAGGCUGCCACACGAAGGAAUGCUUUAUCACUCCGUAGUCUUCAAUACGAGGGAUCAGUACUGAUUCAUUUCGAUUGUAGAACAUUUAUCUAUUGGUUUAUUUCCACCUUUUACUUGGUUGUGUGACAUCAAUUGGCUGGUAUGAUUGUGAUGAUUGUGUUAAGUGUGCACUUUAAAACAUGAAGGAGUUUGUAUGGAAGAAUUUGGCCUUUCACUGUUUAUGUUUGAUGAGUCUAUGAAACACCAUUUACAGACAGGAGGAAUAAAGAAAUACUGCUUUAAAGUGUAUGCUUAGAGUGCGGCUUGAAUAUUUGACAGCCUUCACUGAUUGAAGUCGCAUGUAAAACUCCUAUUAAAUCUUUAAUUUCUGAA